RNAcentral lists this long non-coding RNA (34720 nucleotides) under Zostera marina. RNAcentral describes it as "long non-coding RNA (ZMAR_LNC003109)". Lineage: Eukaryota; Viridiplantae; Streptophyta; Magnoliopsida; Alismatales; Zosteraceae. The record is from RNAcentral.
AAGCUUUCAAGUGCUCAAGUGUCCUAGCUUUCCAAAGCUUCAAAAGCUCUCCAACUUCUUCUUCUAAUCUUCUUGUUCAUCUUUACAAGUAAGAAGUGUUGUUUGCUUUAAUAUUCCACUCCUCUAAUCACUUCUUGUGUGUGUCCACUUUGGUUGAGAGGGUUGUCUCAAUAGUACCAAAGUGUGAGAGAAGGUUUGUGAGCUCAACCAUAAAGCUCUAGUUUGGUUUUAUAGAGUUUCCGGGAAAACUCUUAGGUUGAGUCUACCUUUAAAGAUUUCAGAGGUUUUUAAGAGUUCCUUGAUACUCUAAGGUACUAACUUACCCGUAAAAGUUAGAGGUUCUUAAGAGUGCCCUUGAUACUCUAAAGUGUGAGUCUACCCGUAAAAGACUGGUUCCUAAGCGAAGUAGCCUUAAAGCUUAGAGAGGUUUUUAAGAGUUCCUUGAUACUCUAAGGUUUUGCCAUUACCUUUAGGCGAGUGAAUUCCGGCAGUUGGUCGGGACUGGACUAGCCCUUGUUUGGGUGAACCAGUAUAAAUCUCUUGUGUUGUUCUUUGUUAAUUAUAGUUCUAUCUUUUACUUAAAAACAACACUUAAUUAAAAAGAUCCCUCUUCCAGUUAUCUGGUCAAACACAGAGGUUGACUACUUUACGCAGAUCCCUCAUCCAGUUAUCUGGUCAACUAUCUGAGGUUACAUUCAUUGUUUUAAAUCCUUAUAUUUGUUCAAGUAUUACUUAUCAUAUUUAUCCAGUUAUCUGGUCACUUACUUGUUUAUCAAAUUAUCCAGUUAUCUGGUCAUUUACCUGUUUAUCAAUAUAUCCAGUUAUCUGGUCAUUUACUUGCUUAUCAAUAUAUCCAGUUAUCUGGUCAUUCACUCUACAAUACAAUUUGUGUUUCCAAUAUAACUUAGUAUCCAUAUACUAUAGUUGUGUGUGAAACACUAUCAAGCAAGUUGACUCAGUAUUCAUAUACUGUAGUAAGCUUCAAAGAGUAAUACUUACAAUAUUAUAUCAAUUAAAAUAAUAAUAUCCUUAUAUCAUUACUGUUCAACCAUUUGUUUAUUAAGCAUUUACAGGUAAUUCCGCUAUCAACCUGUAUAAAUCGAAAAGAGGCUAUCACCCCCCCUUAUGCCUCGGAUCACGAUCCAACAAGUGGUAUCAGAGCCAAGUUCCGUUGAAGUCAGACUAACAUCUUACAACAACAACUAUGGCUUCAAAUGGUGAAAACAGUACUGGUCUUGCAUCGAACAAACCUCCCAGGUUCGAUGGAGUAAAGUAUGACUUCUGGAAGAACAAGAUGAAGUUAUACUUAAAGUCAAUCAACAAUGGAGUCUGGAAAUCGUAUUGGAAGAUUAUGAGAUUCCAACAAGCAAAGAAGAGACUUGGGGAGCCAUGGAUAUCCUCAAGGAAAACAACAACUCAAGAGCAUUGAAUGCACUAUAUGGCGCUCUCAAUGAAUCUGAGUACAGCAGAAUUCGAUGCUUGGAUACAGCUCACAAGGUAUGGAAAGCUUUGGAGGAUUUACAUGAAGGAACCUCCCACGUCAAGGAAAAUAAGCUACUACAUGCCACUUCUCAGUUCGAAAGAUUCUAAUGAGGGAAGAUGAGACUAUCGCAGAAAUGAACAUUCGACUAUCACAAAUAGUCAAUGAUCUGGCUGGACUAGGGGAUCCAGUAACUGAGAAAAAGCAAGUGAGCAAGAUUCUAAGAAGCCUUCCAAACAAAUACUACUCAAAGAGGAAUGCUAUCCAAGAAUCUCAUGAUCUGAACAAACUCACAGUGGUAGAACUUUGCGGAAAUCUGAUGGCCUAUGAAGAAGAAAGAUUUAUCUCUAAAGCAAAAGAGGAGAAAAAGGACAUUGCUUUCAAAAGUCAAAGCGAUAAUGAAUCAUCGGAUGAUGACUUGGCAAUGCUCACAAAUCAUUUAAAGAGAUAUCUCAUAAAAAGGAAAGAAAAGAGAAAUUCAAGGAUAGACUAUCAGAAUUCCGACAGAAAAGUGAGUAAAAACCACAAAGACUCAAAGGAGCCCAUCUGCUACGUAUGCAACAAACCUGGACACAUCAGACCUGAAUGUCCUCUACUAAAGAAAGAAAAAGCGCAUCAAGUACACUGGUCAGAUUCUGAGUCAGACCAAGAAGACUGCCUCAUGGCUCAUGAGAACGACUCUGAGGUAAACUUUACAAAUACUAGAUUUAAUUCAUUAGAAGAAGCAUUUCUAGAAUUAAUGAAUAAAUAUAAAGCUGAGAAAAAAUUAAGUAAAUCAUUAAGACUAGAAUGCAUGAAUAAAUCACAUAUUGAUCACUCAAUAGAAUUAGAAGAAUCACAAAAAGAAUGCAUGUUAUUAAAAGAAGAAAAUCAUAAACUCUUAAGUAAAAUAGAAAAGGGAGAUAAAAAAAUUAAAACACUUAAGAGUCAAAAUUUUGAAUUACUUGAUAUUCUAGAAUCUGAAGAAAAAGAACCCAAUGAAAUAAAUGAUGAUAGGGUUGAAUUGUUAGAAUUAAAAAUAGAUAAUUUUGAGGAAAUCAUUAGAGAUAAAGAAAAAGAAACAAUCAUGCUUAAAACUGAAAUAGAAGCUAAGAAUAAACUCAUACUUGAGCAUGAAGAAACUUUACAAAAAUUAUCUGAAAAAUAUAAUUGCAUGCAAUUACAAACUAAAAGAAUAAAUGAGAAAAAUAGUGUUCUUCAGAAAUUCUUCAAUAGUUCAUCAAAGUUAAAUAAUAUGUUGCAAGGCUCGAACUUGGGUCAAAAGAAAUUUGGCUUAGGGUUUGAGUCAAAUGCACCUAUUAACAAAACCCUAAAUGCCACAACUUAUAAUGAUCAUUUUGUAAGGGAAUCUAGUUAUACAAAACCUUUGCAUGCUUUAAUACAUAAUAAUUAUUCUAGCAAUACAAAGUUCAUUCAUCUUAAGAAAAAGAAAAAUUCUAAGAUGAAUCAUCCAAAGCAAAGAUGGAUGACUAAAGAUGAGUUACGAAACUAUAAGCAGAUUAAAUAUGUUAAUUCAUCAGGACCCAACUCAGUAUGGGUACCAAAGGAUUUUUCAACUUUUUCAGGAAAAGCAUGUGUCAAAAUGGAUGUUCGACAGUGGAUGCACAAGACACAUGACCGGGGAAUCAAGUCUAUUAAACGACUUGAUAGACUUACCUCCUACUAAAAAGGUUAAGUUCGCCGAUAACAAUGAAGGUACAAUAGUAGGUAGGGGUAAUGUAGGAAAUACAGAAAAACCAUUCUUAAGAAAUGUAUACUUAGUAAAUGGUCUAAAACACAACCUGAUUAGCAUAAGUCAAUUAUGUGAUAUCGGUUGUGUAGUAAAAUUUGAAAAAUACAAUUGUUCUAUCACUAACUCUGAGUGAGUUAUCAUUGCCAGAGGAUAUAGAAAAAGCAAUGCUUAUUCUAUAAACUUUGAUAAAUCUAAACCAACUCAUGACUUCUGCAUGCUUGCUGCAAGUGAUGAGAAAGUUCUAUGGCAUAGACGACUAGGUCACACCAGCUACUCAAAACUAUCUAAAUUAUCUAAAGAAGAAUUAGUAACUGGGUUGCCUAAAAUAGCUUAUGAAAAAGGUAAUAUCUGUGAUGCUUGUCAAAAAGGAAAGCAACACAAAAGCUCGCUUAAAUCCCUUACAAAAAUAACCACUUCUAGACCCUUAGAGCUUCUUCACAUGGACUUAUUUGGGCCAACCCAAACCCAAAGUCUUGGAGGAAAAAGAUUCACCUAUGUAAUCAUUGAUGAUUAUUCUCACUAUACAUGGGUAUUCUUUCUAAGAAACAAAAGUGAAACCUUUGGUGAAUUUUCUAAAUUUUGUACUCUAGUACAGAAUGAAAAAGGUUCAUCUAUCAUAAAAAUCAGAAGUGAUCAUGGAGGAGAAUUUGAAAACUCUGACUUUGAAGAGUACUGUAUAUCCAAUGGGAUAAAGCAUGAAUUUGCUGUUCCUCAAACUCCACCUCAAAAUGGAAUAGUAGAAAGAAAAAAUCGCACUCUUCAAGAAAUGAGUAAGUCUAUGUUACAAGAACAUGACUCCCCUCAAUAUCUAUGGGAAGAAGCUAUAAGCACUGCUUGUUACACUCUCAAUAAGGUAAUCAUUAGAAAGAUCUUAAAUAAAACUCCUUAUGAACUUUGGAAUAACAGAAAACCCAAAGUUUCAUUCUUUAAAGUAUUUGGGAGUAAGUCCUAUGUUCUCAGAACAAGGGGAAACCAAGAUAAAUUUACACAAAAAUCUGAUGAAGGAAUCUUGGUUGGAUACUCAAAAAGGAGCAAGGCCUAUAGAGUCCUCCUCAAAGAAAGACAAACAUUGAUAGAAUCCCUACACGUUGACUUUGAUGAGUCCAUCUCUGUUCCAAACACAGAAGAAGGAGGAAUUGAAGUCACUCAACAAAUACCAUCUGACAUUCCUAUAGAAAAAGAUGAUCAAGAGACAAUCAUCUCUGAACUUCCAUCAAAUAGGAAUCUUAGAAACCCACACUCUGUAGAACAAAUUAUUGGAGAUCAACACACUGGCAUACAAACAAGAUCAUCUAUACAAGGCAACUAUGUCCUAGAUUGCUUUGUAUCUCAAAUAAAGCCUAAGUAGAUCUAUGUGCAUAUAUAUAUAUGAACUUAAUAUGAUCUAAUGCUAUCUAAACUUACAUGCUUUUAUCAUUCACAUGCUAAGCUCUAUACGCACAUAACUCAAUAGACAUAAAAAUCUAAAUGCAUGUCUAUCAUAUAUAUAUCAAUCACGUUAAUACAUGCCUACACAUUGAUUUACAUGCUUCUAUAAAAUAUCUGAUAAAUGCAUGCUUCAUCAAAUCUCCUACGAAAUAUUCAACUACAUAAUCAUCUGAAACAAUCAGUUAUAUACUAUGUGAUUAUGUACAUAUCAUAUGAACACAUCAUGUUUACAUGCAUUAAUAUGAUAUCAUUCACCAAACAGUUGAUUAUCUUUAUGCCAUCCUUUUAAUACUAGUUAAAGAACUAUAUGGCAUACAAUCAUAAACAUUUCCUUACUAAACUCGUUAACUCAUAAAUUUAUGAAACUAAUCCUAUACAUGCAUGACAAAAUCUUCACUUAUCACUAAUCAUCUGCAUGUUUAGAAGAGUCCGUUGAAUACAAACUAGUCAACUAUGCAACAUCGUCUAAAUGCAACAUAUUGUUAAAUCCAUUUUGCUGUAUUAUAUCUUAUCUAAAUGAUGUUGGUAAGCCACACCAUGCCUUGGAAACUCAAAACAAAUAAGAUAUGUUUUGAAACUCUCAAUGCUGAAAAAGCCAGCAAAAGCUCUACCCAUCUGCAACCAUCAAUCACUUGCGACAUCCGGCAACUCUAUUACCAGAGAAUGACCUGCAAAGAAACACCUCGCAAGAAGUGCUGACAAAAGACAAAUCCUGCACCUGCACACAUCAAUCUUCACCUGCAGAAGUUGAAAACAUCGGCUACAAAAGUCUAAAGGCAUGGAGAGUGUAAGAGUUGUGUUGAAUUACUAAAAUGUAUGAUCUAAAUAUUUAAAUAAAUAGUUUUUAAACAAAUCUUAACUUAGAUCUAUUAAACAAAAUCUCUAGAUAAAUCUAAAUGAUUUGACUCUCUAAGACAUGUGUCAUGGAGUUUUGAAAAACAAACCCUAAGUUGCCAACUCUUCACGGGUAGACAUGACUUAAAGCUUGUAAAGCUUCACAAGCAAUAUCUGUUAAUUCAGAAUCCGGACAGAUAUGAUCAGCCAAAAGUAGAAUAUCUCACUAUAAAAGGAUAGGAAGAACAAUCAAAUACAUAUCUUCUUCUUCCUAAAACCAGUCUGCCCCAAGGAUGUUGAUUCAAGAAAUCAAUCCUGAGAAGAAGGAACUAACAAUCAUACCAGACUGUCCUUCCAGUCCGGUAUACAACCCCAAUCCUUCAAGCAGCAACCCUAUCCGGAAGAAACGCACCAGAAAGAUUCCAGUAUCAGAAAUGUUCCAAGGAACACCAACAUGGAUCUCUCCAAUAGCCAAGUUUUCCUAUAAUCUCAUUCUCGAGCAAAGAAUGAUCUUUGAGGAACAUGUUCUACUCAGAUCUCUCAAUUGCAAGGUGAUUGAAGGACUGCUAAACUUCAACAGGCUCACGGACUAUCUUGAAAACAUAGGGCAGCUCAGGAUCUACAAAUCCGAAUUGGCUCAGUUCUAUGCAAAUCUCAAGUAUGAGACAGUAGGUACUCAAGUGAUCACCACCAAGGUAAAUGGAAUAUGUCUCAUUCUAAGAGCUGAUCAACUUGGAAUAUGGAUAAACCUACCCAACAACGGAGUGAAGCUUCAAAACUACAAAAGCCUGGAUGAGCUACCUUUUAAGUGCAGUUGGGAGAUUCUCUGGAAUACUCUCACCCACAGGUAUAACCCUAAGAGCACUGAUAAGAUUCUGAAUACAAUGCUCAUACCAGAAGCCUUAAUCUUUUUGAAGAUCAUCUCUUACAAUAUAUAUCCUCAAGUUGAAAAUAGAGAAGAACCAUCAACGUUGAUCUUAGUAGCAAUUUACUGCUUGCUGUCAAAGAUCAAAGUGAACUGGGUAUCGCUGAUCAUGCACAAUCUGGCUACAUCAACCAAGAACACUUGAGCUCGCUACUACCCAAGGAUGCUCUCAAGACUCUUUAGUCCAGGGUUCUUUGGAAUUCCACUCUAUCCACAUCCAAUCAUAUCUCACAUUCAACCAUUCACUGCAAGAUCCUUCCAAAAGACUUGGAGAAACACUUAUGAUCCAAACUCACAAAACACUAAUGUGUUUUUAAAUGAGGAAAUCAUAAGGGUUCGACAUCAGGUAAGGAUGCUGGAGAAAGGAAUGAGAGAUCUGGAAGAGAUGGUUUCCAUAACAAGGCAACAACUAGAUGUUGAGAGAGAAUAUAAUCUGGAGUUGGCUAACCUAUUUCAUGAGUUUAGCUCCAAGGUCAUCCCAACCAUGCACCACCAUGACUGAACUACAUCUGCCCUAAGAAGUAUUUUGAUGUUUUGAGUACUUGUAUUUUGUGUCUGUUUUUCUGUUAUUUUGAAGAUCCAUUCAUGGAUCGUAGUCUCAUUGAAUAUGAGAUCAACCCUGUCAUGUAUCACCCCUUCUACUAAAAUGAAAAAUCGUUUUAUGAUUUUAAGCUUAUAAACAUAAGGGUAUGCAUGCAUAAAGAAAAACAUAAUAUCAGCAACAUCAAAAAUUUGUGGGCUGCAUGAAUAUUAGUUAAUACUUCAAGGUAUAAAAUUAAAAUUCUUUUGAAGUAUUAAUCGACUUUUCAAAGUCUUAAACUUUAAAACUUCAAGGGCUUAAACAUAAACUAUUUUUGAAGUUUAAAAUGAUUCACUGAAAACUUAAGGAUUAAAGUUAUAUUUUUCAGUGAAUAUAAAGUUUUGUGAAACUUCAAGGACUUAUACGAAAAUCGUUUAUGAAGUUUUUAAGUUUUAAUAGAUUCACUGAAAACUUAAGGAUUAAAAUUAUAUUUUUCAGUGAAUAUAAAGUUUUGUGAAACUUCAAGGACUUAAACGUAAAUCGUUUAUGAAGUUUUUAAGAUUCACUAAAACUUAAGGGUCAAAAUGAUAACUUUACAGUGAAUAUAAAUUUAGUUAAAACUUCAGGGACUUAGAAUCAAUAUUUACAUGAAGUUUUAAUCAAAAAAUUACUUAGAAAUAUUUAAUACUUCCAAGGUUUAAAAUGAAAUUUUUUAAGUAUAAAUCUAAGUAUUCAUUAUAACUUCAAAGGGAUUAAAUUAUCUAUGAAGUUUUUCAUUGAAACAUAAAGGUUCAAAGGAUAUCAUUACAGUGAAUAAAUAUUUAGUUAAAACUUCAGGGACUUGAAAUUAAUAUUUACAUGAAGUUUUCAAAUUGAAAAGUGCUUAGAAUUAGUUAAUACUUCCAAGGUUUAAAUGAAAUAUUUCAAGUAUUAAUCUAAGUAUUUAUUAUAACUUCAAAGGGCUUAAAUGAAAUUUUGUUUUAAGUGAAGUUUUACUACGAAGGCUUUAAGGACUGAAAUGAAAAUUUUAAAUCUUUUAAAACUUAGUGAAUAUUUACAUGAUUAUAUUUGUCACUAAGACAUAGAUUUUAAAAUUUUAAAUGCUCAAUUUCUUCUUAAAGCAAUUAGUGAAUAUUAUGGAUUUAUACAUAUCAUUCACUAAUAUCUUAUGGAUUAUAACAUUAUAAAAUCUUUAAUCCAUACAUGUUAAGAUCAUCUUCAUCCAUAACACACACAUAGAUUAUUAUUCAUUGCAUGAUCUUAGCACAAGACAAUUUAAAUUAUCAUAUCAUACUUGCCUUAUAAUGUAUAUCAAAAUUGGCUUCAAUCCAAUAUUUUAUCAAUGAGCAUAAAUUACAUGUUAUUUCUCCUUUAUGAUUGACUAACACUCUUAUAAGCAAGAAGUCACAUUUGGUCAACCACACAAAUCGAAUUUGUGAUCAAAGCUCAAUAAGGUAUGAAAUUUUAUUUUCUCCACAAAUUAGAUAUGUCCUAUCAUUAAGGGGGAGAUACUUCAUAGGUAUCUAUUUUUAACUUUGUCGAUACCUUAUUAUUUUAAGGGGGAGAAAUCAUGCAUGAUCCACUGCUUUUAAAUUGAAUAUUAUGGGUCAAUAAUUCAGGGGGAGCAUGCUCAUAAGGGUAAAAUAGAAUAUUGACUAGACAUGAGUUAAAACAUAUAUGUCUUCGACAAAGGGGGAGAAUGUAGAAUCAAAAUUGUCGACAUAGGAUUAUAUUUUAAUCAUGUCAAUUUAAACCUUAAUUACACUAUUAAUCAAUAGGGGUUAAAUAAGUCAAUCGAUAUUAAACCUAACUCCAGUUAAUUAAUUAAUCAUUUGAGUUAAGGGUUUAAGUCAAAGUUAAAAGUCAAAUUGGGAGAAUUGCAUUUUCACCUUGAAUAUUAUUAUUUGGAAUAAUUGCAUUUUCACCUUGAAUAUUAUUAUUUGGAAUAAUUGCAUUUUCACCUUGAAUAUUAUUAUUUGGAAUAAUUGCAUUUUUACCUUGAAUAUUAUUAUUAUUAUCUUUUGACACUUUAUUCGAGGUAUAAUAUUCCAAGGGGACAAAACACUAUUCAUGGUUGAAUUUAUACAAAGAUAAGAUUUUCCAACAAAUUCUAUCCAAGAAAAGCACUAUUCAAGAUAAGAUCAAAGACAAAGCUNNNNNNNNNNNNNNNNNNNNNNNNNNNNNNNNNNNNNNNNNNNNNNNNNNNNNNNNNNNNNNNNNNNNNNNNNNNNNNNNNNNNNNNNNNNNNNNNNNNNGUAUCUUCCAGAUCCUCCCGCAGGAGGAAGAAGGAUUCCUUGAGCGUGAAAUCAGAGCCACCACCUGUGGUAGAAAAGAAACCUUCUUUUGAGAUUGAAGAUUCAAGCAGCAGUAGUGGUGGCAUUGUAAUGGGUUAUAAGAAAGGGGCUAAGGAGGGGGAACUGACACUCAUGCCGAAAUUGGAAGGAUUGGAGAAAAUUUUCCUGAGAUUUCCUGAGAUUUCCUGAGAAAUCAAAUCCCUGGAAUGAUUUUGUGCAGUUGUGACUGAACCUGGAAAAGAAGUUGAAGGAGAUGGUGAGAUUCACAAGGCUUCUCAUUGAGCAAACUACGUCUGGUAAAACUCCAGAGAUCUGAUUGUGUGCGAUGUUGAAGACUUGGAUAUCGGAGAGACAUGAGAUGGAUGUCGGUAAGUGUCCGGUGAAGGAGUUGAAGCUGAAGUCCAAAACCUUCAUAUUUGUCAUAAACUCAAUGUCUUCCGGAAUGCGACCUGUGAGUUUGUUGUUCGAGAAGGUGAACGGGAGAGUGGACUGCUCUAGCAGUUCAUCAUCGGCCGGUCGGGAGAAAGGUGAUCGGGAGGUGGGAGGACGAUGGGUACAUUUUUUGCCCGUUAUUGACAAUGGCAUAUCAAAGAAAAUUUAAAUAAUUUUUAAGGGUAAAAUGGUCAUAAAAAAUGAAGGUGGUUAGUUUUAACUCCAAAGCUACCUUAGGUGGGUAGUUUUGACAAUUUUCCUUGAAUUUAUACAAAGAUAAGAUUCUCCAACAAACUCUAUCCAAGAAAAACACUAUUCAAGAUAAGAUCAAAGACAAAGCUUGGAUUUAUAUGAGAAAUCAAGGAGCCAUCCAUUGAAGAUCCAAGGGUGGACAUUGAGUGGCCAAGGCUAUAAAUAGAUGGGUAAUCCCCUCAUUUUCACUCACCACACUACAAGCAAACUCAAGAGCUUUCACUCCACACUUGCCCACACGUUUUUGCCUCCAAGCUUUCAAGCUUUCAAGUGCUCAAGUGUUCUAGCUUUCCAAAGCUUCAAAAGCUCUCCAACUUCUUCUUCUAAUCUUCUUGUUCAUCUUUACAAGUAAGAAGUGUUGUUUGCUUUAAUAUUCCACUCCUCUAAUCACCUCUUGUGUGUGUCCACUUUGGUUGAGAGGGUUGUCUCAAUAGUACCAAAGUGUGAGAGAAGGUUUGUGAGCUCAACCAUAAAGCUCUAGUUUGGUUUUAUAGAGUUUCCGGGAAAACUGUUAGGUUGAGUCUACCUUUAAAGAUUUCAGAGGUUUUUAAGAAUUCCUUGAUACUCUAAGGUACUAACUUACCCGUAAAAGUUAGAGGUUCUUAAGAGUGCCCUUGAUACUCUAAGGUGUGAGUCUACCCGUAAAAGACUGGUUCCUAAGCGAAGUAGCCUUAAAGCUUAGAGAGGUUUUUAAGAGUUCCUUGAUACUCUAAGGUACUAACUUACCCGUAAAAGUUAGAGGUUCUUAAGAGUGGCCUUGAUACUCUAAGGUGUGAGUCUACCCGUAAAAGACUGGUUCCUAAGCGAAGUAGCCUUAAAGCUUAGAGAGGUUUUUAAGAGUUCCUUGAUACUCUAAGGUUUUGCCAUUACCUUUAGGCGAGUGAAUUCCGGCAGUUGGUCGGGACUGGACUAGCCCGUGUUUGGGUGAACCAGUAUAAAUCUCUUGUGUUGUUCUCUGUUAAUUAUAGUUUUAUCUUUUGUUUAAAAAAACAACACUUAAUUAAAAAGAUCCCUCUUCCAGUUAUCUGGUCAAACACAGAGGUUGACUACUUUACGCAGAUCCCUCAUCCAGUUAUCUGGUCAACUAUCUGAGGUUAUAUUCAUUGCUUUAAAUCUUUAUAUUUGUUCAAGUAUUACUUAUCAUAUUUAUCCAAUUAUCUGGUCACUUACUUGUUUAUCAACUUAUCCAGUUAUUUGGUCACUUACUUGUUUAUCAAUAUAUCCAGUUAUCUGGUCAUUUACUCUACAAUACAAUUUGUUUUUUCAAUAUAACUUAGUAUUCAUAUACUAUAGUUGUGUGUAAAACACUAUCAAGCAAGUUGACUCAGUAUUCAUAUACUGUAGUAAGCUUCGAAGAGUAAUACUUACAUUAUUAUAUCAAUCAAAAUCAUAAUAUCCUUAUAUCAUUACUGUUCAACUAUUUGUUUAUUAAGCAUUUACAGGUAAUUCCGCAAUCAACCUGUUUAAAUCGAAAAGAGGCUAUUACCCCCCUUAUAGCCUCGGAUCACGAUCCAACACUCUCAACCACACCAUUUUAUUGUGGUGUGUGUGGGAAACUAGAGUAAUGGAUGAUUCCAUUUGCUUUUAGGAAAUCAUCCAUGGUUGAGGAGAAGAAUUCUCCACCAUUGUCAGUUCUAAUUGUUUUGACAGAAAUAUCAAAGUGAUCAGUGAUAAGAGCAUGUAGAUUUUUAAAAAUAGUAAAACAUUCAGAUUUCAUAGUGAUUAAAUAAGUCCAAGUGUACCUAGUAUAAUCAUCAACCACAAUUAAAAAAUAUUUCUUCCCAUGGAUUGUUGGAGUGUGAAAGUUCCCCCACACAUCCAUGUGAAGUAAAUCAAAUGCAUAUUUAGUUCUAGAUGCAUGCAGUGGAAAUGAUUUCUUAGGUUGUUUAGCAAAGUGGCAAGUAUCACAGUAUUUAUCAAAAGUAAAGUUUUGAGAAUCAAAAGACAAAUUGUUUAAAAUGUGUUUGAGUCUAUCACUUGAAGUGUGACCCAAUCUUCUGUGCCAUGUAGAUGUUGUGAUGACACCUGCAAAAAAUUCUUCAUAACAUGUUUAUGAUAAUAGGUAGAGCCCUUUCUCCAUCUUACUCUGACCAACUUUCUUCAUCUGAAUCUUGUCAUAUAAGAAUGCACAUGAUUUAGAGAAUUGUAAAUAGUAGGUAUCAUGUCGAGUCAAUUUGCUAAUGGAUAGCAAAUUCACUUGAAAAGCUGGGAUGAAAUACACAUCCCUGAGUGUGAUGUUGGGUGAGAUAUGAAUAUUACCCUUUUGGGACACUGUUUGACUGUCCCCAUUUGGUAAUGAAAUUUUGAAAAGAUUGCAUUUUGUAAGUUUUUGAAAUAGAGAUUCAUUCUCACUUAGGUAUUUUGAUGCAUCUGAGUCAAUGAUCCAAUAUGUAUUUAAAUAAUUUUUAAAAACAGAUUUGGCAUUACCUGAGUCUUUGUGCUUGGGCAGGGGCUUUGGAUUAUAUUUCUCAGAGUAGAGUGGAAAGUCAUAUGGUCCAAUUGGAUUGUUAGGAGAUUCUGCCCUUUUAUCAUUACUGUCCCAAGCUGUCCAAGUUUGAUCAGUGUUCACACAAUUGGCUGAGCCUUGUGCUUUAUUGACCACAGAGGGUGUUGGAGUGGAAGGAUUGGUCUUGGUGAUGGAUGAGUUGUUUCUAGAGGGAUACCCAUGUUGAUUGAAGCACUUCUCAUCACUAUGUCCAAAUGCAGUACAAUGGAAACAGUAGUACCUUGUAUUCACUUGUUUACCACUUCUGUAAUAUAUUGGUUCAGUAGGAGUUGGAAGCCUCUUCCUUUGAUUGUUGGAUGAGGAUGGAGUGUUUGUUGGUUUGGUGGUUUGGUAAGGUGCUUUCUCUUUAACAGAGUAAAAGGCAGAGCCUUGAUCCAUGUUGGUGUUGUUGGUUAGUUUCUGUUGAGCUUCUUCAUGUAUAACCAUUGAGAAUACUGAAUACUUUCCCAAAGUUUGGAAGUUUUUCCAUAGAUAGAAUGGUCGAUCUUAUCUGUCUGAAGCUAUCAUUUAAUCCCAUCAGAAACUUCCUAACCUUGAGUCUCUCUUCCCUCUCAUUAAUUCUACCAUUCACAUUGCAGGUGCAAGUGAUACAACUACAUCGGGGAACCUCCCCAUAGGCAUCUACCUCCCUCCAUAGUGUUUUAAGAGUGGAACUGAACUUAGAAACAGUGUUUGAUCGAUCCUUGUUGUAGUAAAGCAAUGUCCUGAGUGAGUUGGAACAAAUGAGUCUCAUUGGAUUGUUUGAACUGAUCUCUGAGGUCAGCCCAAAUGAUGCUAGCAUCAUCAGUGUACAUUAUCUGAAAAGCUAUCUCCUGAGAGACAGAACUCCAUAUCCAUUGGCGAAUUAUUCCAUGACAAGUCACCCAGGCUUCAUGUUCCUUAAUUGCCCCAUUUACAAAACCCAACUUCCUCCUAGUAAUUAGCAUGAUAGUCAUCUCUUUAUUCCAGGGAUAGUAGUUCUGAGUACCUUGUAGGAUGUUUAUUAUUUAUAGUGGACCAUAGUCUGUGGAUUUGAAAAAAUAGAUAGAUGUGGGAUCAAAUAAGGGACCACCAAAUGGUUUCUUUUGGACAGUCUGGACUAUUUCAUUUUCUGCCAUGAUGAGUAUUCUAUAACAUUUUUCAUGAUAAUAGAAUAGUAUUAAUUUAAUACGAAAAAACUUUGAAUGAAUCAAAAAUUGUAGAAUAAAAUUCGAGUUAAGUGAUUGCAUUUGAGUAGUGGUUUUUAUCCCACCUUUAAUUAAUUUGAGAUGAUGUAGAAUAAUGACUAGAUGGCAUUCAUUCUUAGAGUGAUCAAUUAGCAACGGAAGCAAUGUAAAAGCAAUAUCCAUCUUGAUUAUGGAUUGAGUUUUAUUUAGCAUAAAAAAUCAGCAGAACUACCAUCAUUAUCAGAAUGAAACUUUAAAUGUAUUUUUCUUUGCAUAUUAGGUAAAUGAACAGAGACUGAACAUUAGUUAGACAUACAAAAAAGAUAAGUUUUACUCAUAUUAACAUGCAGUAGUUUGCUUAUAUUCAUUGAACCUACAAAAACAAGAUAUUCUUUCAUAACAGUCAACAGAACAUGAUAUGGUAGGAAUAUCAGUUUAUAUAAGAGCAUCAGAUCAAAGAGGGUUUGUUAUAAACACUGAUGUGUGUACACAUCAAUGUUUUCAAGCCUCACACAUGAUCUUGUCCUUGAAAGUAACAUGCAGUGUGAUAUAUAUAGACAUGCAGUAAGUAAUAACAUAGAUCCAAGAAGUUUAACAUGAAAUGUAUGUAUGUCGACAUUUUUAGACUCAAAAUAUGAUGUCAGAUUUAACAUGGACAAACAACAUGUUGAGCAUAGACAUGCAACAGGUAUAUAUUUAGAUCUGAACAAACUAGCAUACAUAGCAUUCAUAACAUUUGAAUCUAUUUUAUCACAAACAGAGUUUAGAUAUAUCAGUCUUUGCUUUGCACAAAGAUGUCAGAGAGUUUGACGGAGUCAGUUUUCCCUUUUGAAACUCGAGUCGUUCUCCUUCGCGUUUUCUGAUUUGUUGAAACCGUAGUUGAAGGAUUAGCAGCGCAGCACUCCACAAGGCUUUGAUACCAUGAAGAAACUGGAGAGAUCGAAGUGUCGUGUGCACCGUUUGAAGAUUAGGUUUAGGAGAUGAGCAACCAGAAGAACGAAGAGGAGUCGGUUGGGAAGAACCCAAGCGUUUUAGGGUUUUUGGUAUUUGAAAAAGAUGAUAAAAAAGUAUUACAAGAGACUAUUUAUACUACUCCUAUUUUAACUUAAUGGGCCAACAUUAGUUGGGCCUGACGUAGUUUAACUUAAACUUAAAUUUAAACAUAAACAGGAUUAAUCUCAAUACGACUAGUGUUAAGCAAACCUUGAAAAAAACAGGAAUAGCUAACUAAAAAAUUAGAUAACUACAAACACGAACCGAAAUAAAAAACAAAGAAAACGGAGGGAAAAAAAAAUAUCGGAAAUCGAAAAAAAAACAAGCCGAUAAUAAAUAUACAGAACUCGCAACGGUAGCGACAGAAAGGGAUAGAGAGUAAAAAAAUGAAAAACUAUAAAAGAAGAAGAAAAAUAUACUAACACGCCUACAUACAAACGAAACAGUACCUAAGGAAAAGUUUCCGUUGUAGGAAGUCGAGGAAGGAGGAAGACGGAGAUGAGGGAAGAACGGAGGUCGACUAGAGACUACGUUAAUAUGUUAGAAAGCAGUGGACUACAGCAGGUAUGUAGAUAGGGAGGAGGGUAAAGGACGGAAGAAGGAGGAACAAGGGAGAAUGUAGUGUAACAUCCUCUUACAAUAAGAGGGAUGUUAAUAAUAUCAAUCUAAACAUUUAAACCAUCAGGUGAAAACAAACAAACAUGUUGUACUUUCCCUAAUGUCGAGAAUCAACAUAAUAAUAUGUCAAUAAAAUAAAAGUUCAAAAUUUGUGAAUAAAGUCCAGAACAUCAUCAUUUACUAGUAAGACUCUAGAACAUUAUUAUAAAUAAUAAACAGGCACCAACGGAGUUCAUAAUAUUCAUUAGGAUGAAGCACCACUACUCCUGAUGUUAACUCUGCUCCACCCUCCUGUAUCCAUGCAAUGUAACUUCAUCAACGUCCCCAUCCUAUAAAUUUUAUAACACGACACAACAUAGCAAAGCAAAAUGGUUGAGUCUCAACUGACUCAGUAUGGAAGUCUGUACUUAUGAUUCCACAUAAGGAAUAAUAUACCAGUAUUCAUUCUUAUCACCUAUAAACAACCAUAAAAGUAUCAAUAACUGAAAUUAAACAAACUAUUUAACGACUAUUUGUAGCCUAAUUCUUGUCAUAUUGUUCAUCUCAUCAUGAGAUUCAUGUCAUGUCAUAUCGUGUUUCUCAUAUCAUUUUAUAGACCUUCAUAAUAUCAUUCAACAUCGUCAUCUUUCGAACUUAACAUCAAAACAGAAUUUUUACCGAUGAAAACAGAAAAUAUAAAGACCGAGAAAACUCCUACUCAUGACUCCCUAAUCCCUCAUUCAAUGUCAAAUAAAAUUCAAAAAAAAUAUACUUCACUCCCCCUUCUCAAAACAGUACAAACUCACCAUAUUUUGGAUUAAAUCAUCACGUAAUAAUACUCCCGACAACUCUGGAAUAAUUAAAAAAAUAAGCGAAUCAAAAUAAAAAUCAAAUCAGAAUAAAUGACAAUACUCGAGAACAAACACAAUCAAUCUCAAUCACAAUGAUAAGAUAAUAACACUACGGAAUCUUCGAAGAAUUAGUUAUGAAAUCAAUCAUAAAAAUAUCUAAAAUCUUUAAAAUCAUGACAACAACACCCACCUUCAAAUCUCUGAAAAUUUGAUAGAAUUAGAUUAAAUCCAGCAAAUUUAAUUCUAAAUAAAAUGCAACACCAAACAGUAGAAAGGACCCAACUCCAAUAUCUGAAUAUCAUCUGAUUUUUUUAUAGAAAUGGUCAUACUCUAAUCCACCUAUGAAUCCAUCCCAUUUUCAAUGGAUAUCUAUGUAUCACUUGUUGAACUAUUUCAUGUAACACAUAACCUAAUCAUGUUUCUAUUUCUAUCUAUCAAUAGAAUCAUACUACUUAAACCCCAAAGAUUUACAGAAAAUCAUAAGAACAUAUUCUAAACCCAUACCUUAUUGAUCAACUCACAACCUCCACACCAAGAUCGAAAUCUCCCCUUAAGAUCGAUUGAUUUCUUUCCUUUUUUUCCUUUCCUUUCCUUCUUUUCUCUUCUCUUCUUUUCCUUUUCACCCGUUCCUCUCCUCCUAGACCUCUACAUCUUUUCAUUAUAUAAUAGUUUAAUUAGGGCUCAUGCCCCCACAUCUUGAUUUAAUGGCUUAAUUGGCCUUAGUGCAUAUUUAGCCCAACAAGACUCUUUUUAAUUAAUUAAUUUUUUUUUUUUUUUAAAUUUCAUGAGGGUUUUUACAUGUAGAACAGGGAAAAGGUAUGAGAAAAAAGACGGAAGGAGGAGAAAUAUGGUGUCUUGUUUUGAUUGUUGGAAAAAUGGUGAAUGAGGUUGAGUUAAAUAGGAAGUUCAGGUAGGUGCAUUGAGGUGGCGGUUGUAGGUUACUUAGCAUUUAGGGAGGAAAUAUAUUAUAGGUUAAUUAUGAGAUUAGUCUGAUAGACACGGAUGCCAUGCACACCUGAUCUGUAUUAAUAAAGAACCCAACUUUAUUUAUUAUUCUACGGUUCUGUAGUUCUGCCUUGCGAAGAAGAAAUUAGAAUGGCAAUUGCGGGAGAUGAAACAGACAUACCAGAUUUGGGAUAAUUCCAAGUUUCCAACAACUGUCUGUAAUCACAUCGAUGAUGACGAUGGAUAUAGAUUCAGACUUGAGGAACAUCGCCGUUUGGCAUUGUGAUCGAAAGAGAGAGAUGGAGUUCCGGAUGGUUUUCGCCGUAGUCUUACUGUCCGUGUCUUGCUGGAUAUGCGUGGUUUCCGAUUCUCAUUACGUGAAGUACAAGGACUCUAGUCAGCAUGUAGAAGCCCGUGUGGAGGAUUUGUUGGCCAGGAUGACUGUGGCGGAGAAGGUCGGCCAGAUGGCUCAGAUCUAUCGCUCUAUCGCGUCUGAAUCAGUUAUCAAGAAAUACUUAUUGGGUAAUUAAUCUUUUCCAUCUCCUUAACGUAGGUCGUCUGAAUCGUGAUUGAUUAUUAUUAACUUGCUCAGGGAGCGUGCUUAGUGGGGGUGGAAGUGUGCCCAAAUCGAAGGCCACGCCCAGGGAUUGGGUGGAUAUGAUCAACGGAUUGCAAAAAGGUGCGUUGGAGACUCGUCUUGGUAUUCCGAUGAUCUAUGGCAUUGAUGCUGUUCAUGGUCAGAUUUAUGCUUAUAAAGCUACCAUUUUCCCUCACAAUAUCGGCCUAGGAGCAACCAGGGACUUAAAACUUGUAGAGAAGAUAGGUGCGGCAACGGCGUUGGAAGUUAGGGCAACUGGGAUUCCCUAUGUCUUCGCUCCAACCGUUGCUGUAAUUGCUACUUCAUUACUUCACUGCAACUCAUUAUUGUUUGGUUAAACUAGUUUACUGAUUCUUAGGUAUGCAGAAAUCCAAGAUGGGGUAGAUGUUAUGAAAGCUACAGUGAAAAUCCAAAGCUCGUCCAAGCUAUGACGGCGAUGAUCAUACCUGGUCUACAAGGCAGGAUCCCAAAAGGAUCGUCCAAAGGCGUUCCAUAUGUCGCCGGAAAGUACGUACACUGAUAAAAAAUAAUCCAGUGUAUGUUACAGAUGUGAAAUAUAACAAGAAUGUUUUCAUCAGGAACAAUGUCGCGGCAUGUGCCAAGCAUUUCGUCGGAGAUGGUGGGACGGAAAAUGGAACCAACCAGGGAAACACGAUGAUCGAUAGAAAGGGGCUACUAAGCAUACACAUGCCACCGUAUCGUAAUGCGGUCCUGGAAGGCGUGUCAACUGUUAUGAUCUCGUAUUCAAGCUGGAAUUUUGUGAAGAUGCACUCUAAUCAAGACUUAAUAACUAAUUAUCUUAAGAAAAAACUCAAGUUCAAUGUAAGUACUAUAAACAGGAUUCAGACUAGGAUUUUUAGGAUUUUUUAAACCAACUUUUCAGCUUGAUUUUGUUUUCUAGGGUUUCGUGAUCACAGAUUGGGAAGGGGUUGAUCAACAGACAAAUCCUCAAGGCAUCCACUACAAAUCUUCUCUGGAAACCAGCAUCAAUGCAGGGAUCGACAUGGUGGAUUAUAAAAUCUGAACAGCAUUGUUGUUUGGAGUUGGUUAGAUGAUUCUGAAUUUGAUGUUUUUGUGUAGGUGAUGCUUCCAUUCAAUCUGACAAUGUACUUGAAAGAUAUUAAGUCUUUGAUCAAAGAGAAGCGGAUUCCGAUGUCUAGGAUCAACGAUGCAGUUCGAAGAAUCCUUCGAGUGAAAUUCACAAUGGGAUUGUUCGAGUAUCCUUUGGCCGAUUACAAUCUCACACAUGAACUCGGAAGCAAGGUUUUGUAAUUUGAAUAUCUCCAUCUAUUCAUCAACUUUUUUUUUCCUUUUUGAUGUCAUUCUCAUAAAGAUCAGAAACACCAAGAACUAGCGAGGGAAGCUGUGAGGAAAUCACUAGUGUUGCUUAAAAACAAAAGGCACGACGGAAAACCGUUUCUACCACUUCAGAAGAAGGUUAAUAAGAUCUUUGUCGCCGGGACUCACGCCAAUAAUAUCGGUUUCCAAUGCGGCGGGUGGACUAUUAAUUGGCAAGGAUUCAACGGAAACAAAGAUACCUCCGGUGAGUAAUCGAUUUUUAAAAUCCUUAAUUUUAAAAAUCCUAAUUUCAAUUUUUUGUCGUCUAUCUUUAGGUGCGAGUAUCUUGAAAGCCAUAAAGAACACCAUAGGAUCCAAGAGGAAAGUCGUGUUUAAAGAAAAUCCAAAACCACAUGACAUUAGCAGCAAUAAGUAUGCCUACGGAAUUGUCGUUGUCGGAGAGCUGCCUUACGCAGAGACCUUCGGAGAUAGCGUUAACCUCACGAUCCCUGAGCCGGGUCCAAGUGUGAUCAAGAACGUAUGCAGCAAGAUGAAAUGCAUUGUUAUAUUGAUCUCCGGCAGGCCGUUGGUCAUCAAACCAUACAUCAAGAUGAUCGACGCACUUGUUGCUGCCUGGUUGCCUGGCACGGAAGGUCAUGGCGUGACCGAUGUGUUGUUUGGAGACUAUGGAUUCUCUGGUAAGCUUUCUCGGACUUGGUUCAAAUCUGUUGAACAGUUACCAAUGAAUGUCGGAGAUAUACAUUAUGAUCCACUCUUCCCUUUCGGAUUUGGGCUUACUACCAAGCCGAAAAUGUAACAAUCACUCAAAGACUAAAAAGAGGGAAGAUCUGAAUAUUACCAUAGCGGAGAACUCAGCCGAGGUCGUUGUUGCAGGAACAAAUUACUUAUAUAGAGAUAAUGAGUUUCUGUGAUUUUUAAUAAAUUGAAUGAAAGAUCCUGAAGGAUUUGCAUGGUAAGGAUCUCAUUGACAUUUACAAUCCUGAAGAUUGUUAAAACUAUGGUUGGUAUAAACUUCCGCGUGUCUGAUAGCCGUUCCAGUACGGUUCUAGCCAGCGCAUCCAACCACACUGGCGAGAACCGCACCAGAAGCGGAUCCUUUGUAUUUAACCCAUAAGUUACUAAUAUAUUAUAAAAUAUAUAUUUAAAUUCUAAGUUACUAAUAUAUUAUAAACAUUUAUAAUAUUUGGGUCCGGAUAAGACUGGGACUGGCUAAUCUGGAUCCGGACUCGGGUUACUAACUGACCUGGUCUGAACCCGGACCUUCGGGUCCAAAACCUUUAAUGGGACUAAAAUUUGUCCCAGACCUGGACCCGAACGAAGCGGGUCGCUUAUAGAUCACCUUCAAGGGAUCAACUCACCAAGUUGGUCACCUUCAAGGGAACUUAAAAAGUUGAUCGCUUAUAGAUCACUAGCGAUAGGGUUUCUUGCGACUAACGUGGUGACCAAAAAGUUAGUCUCUUUUUUCUAUAAGCGACCAACUUAUGAUUUUUUGCCUUUUUCUAUAGUGCGUAGAUAAGCCUUUUUCUUGUAGUGAACGGUCUUCGUCAAAGGGUUGCCGUGUAUUACAAUCAGACAUUUGCGUUGGUAGUCAAACCGGUCAUGGUAAGAAUUGCAUUGAGGUUAGCAAAGGAUGGUCAACGACACAAUUCGACAUCUCCAACACAUUCUUGCACGGGGUACUUGACGUGGAAGUCUUCAUGUGCCAACCAACAAGAUUUAUUGACCCAAAAUUUGAGCAUGGUUCUAUGAAGACUAUAAGUGUAGAUUGUAUACAUUGAAUUGAAUGAGUAGAGUUGAUUACAUUGGUCUUUAUUUAUACUAAUUUCUCUAACUAAUUGUUGUUAAGCUAUGGUUACUAACUGGAGUAUGAUUCACACACACACCCUUCAUUCAAUCUGAGUGCUCGAGCGAAGAUUAAGUCUAUCUUUUAAUAAUGAGAACUGAGUCGUUGAUAGACCUUUUGUGAAUAUGUCUGCAACCUGACACUCUGUAGGUAUGUAAGAAACUUGAAGCACCCCUUUUUCAAUAAGUUCUCUUACAAAAUGGUAAUCGAUGUCCAUAUGCCUGGUUCGAUACUUUCUUAUUGGGUUUGAUGCCAAGAAAAGAGUCGACUUGUAAUUAUCACAGUAUACCAUUGGUGGUUUCUGGAUUCGAAUUACCCAAAUCUCGUAGUAGAAAACGAAGACCUCGAACUUCCGAAGUUGCGCUAGCUAGAGCUCAAUAUUCUGCUUCGGUGCUGGAACGAGAAACUGCAACUUUUUCUUUGAAAAUCAGUUUACUAAGUUUGAUCCUAUAUAGAAACAUGCUCCAGUAUAAGAUCGUCGUGUAUCUGGAUCUCCUUCCCAGUCAGCGUCAGUAAAUGUGUUGAUAGUGUUAUUUGAAAAUUGGUGUAACGCUUCAUUGAAUAUUCGAAUAUCUCUCUUUUGAUCUUUGAAGUACUGAAUUCCAUUGUUUAUAGUCCCUUUGAUGUAUCUUAAAAUACGUUUUACUGCUCUAAGGUGACUCGUUUUUGAAUUUUGUAAGAAUUGUGCCGCUUGUCCUACUGCAUAAGAUAAGUCCGGACGAGUUAACGUGAUGUAUUGUAAUGACCCAACGAUUUGUCUAUAAAGAGUGAGAUCAUAUACAAUUUCUCUAUCUGUAGCUGAUAGUUUUGAGCCUGAUGCUGUAGGAUUUGAGACAAAAGCACAGUUGGCCAUAUUAAAUUUGGCUAAGAUUUCUUUUGCAUAUUUUUGUUGAGAGAUUAAUGCUCCUUUUUCAUUGUAGACGAUUUCAAUGCCUAAGAAGUACCUGAGCAGGCCUAAAUCUUUACAUUUGAAUUGUUUGCAGAGAUGUGAGAUUAAUAUGUUUGUGUGCCUAAGAUCAUUCCCAGUGAUAAUUAAAUUAUCAACGUAGAUAAGAAUAUAUAUUAUUUUACCCUUAUUUUUCUUUAUGAAGAGUGAUGAAUCUGUCUUGCUGUUAAUAAAUUUCAUUCUUAUAAGAGUUGUUGCCAAUUUGUAAUACCAUGCCUGUGGAGAUUGUUUGAGAUCAUAUACCACUUUUUUUAAUUUGCAUAUGUGUUUUGGAUAAUUUUGAUCUUUAAAUCCUGGAGGUUGCCUCAUAUAAAUUGUUUCUGUUAAAUCCCCAUGUAAGAAAACGUUGUAAACGUCGAGUUGGCGUAGUGUCCAAUUCGAUGAAAUGACGUGAGCGAUAACAGUACAAAUGGUCAUGUGACGUAUUACCGAAUUAUAGGUUUACUCGUAGUCUAUUCCAUAAUCUUGAUGUAGCCCUAUUGCUACUAAUCGCGCUUUGUAUCAGUUUAUUUUACCUUCUGAGUUUUUCUUAAUUCGAAAAACCCAUUUAGAUCUAAUAAUGUUCAUACCUGAGGUCGAUUUGACUAGUUCCCAUGUGUUAUUGACGUGUAAUGAUUUUAUUUCCUCCUUCAUUGAUGUUGAUCAUUUUGGUUGACUUAUAUAUUGCGAUUUUGUAUCCCGUUGACUCUUUUUCUUCUAAGGAAGUUGUAUAAGCUACAUAGUCAUCAUCUUUAGUUGGUUUUUUUCUAAUUUUUUCUGACCCUCUUAUUAGUGGUGUAUUUCUGACCCUCUUUAGUGGGAACAUUGCACUUUCUUUCUCUUCUAUUUCGAAUUUAGGAAAUUCCUUUUCGUAGAACUUGACAUGUCUUGAUAUGAUUAUUCUUCUACUUGAUAUGUCAAUGCACUUGUAUGCUUUAUGAAUCUUCGAGUAGCCAAGAAAUAUGCAUUUGGUGGAUUUGGUGUCGAGCUUGCUCUUGCCUUGGUUUAAUAGCAAUGGAUAACAAAGACAAUCGAAAACACGUAGUAAUGACUAGUUUGGUCUUUUGUUAAACAAUAGUUGGUAAGGAGAAUAUUCAUCCGGGUUUGUUGAUGGUAAUCGAUUGAUAGUGAAAACUGUAGAAUCUAAACUGUCGAUACAUAGUUUGUGUUGAUAAUCAUAUUUAAUUAACUCUAAUCAUGUUAUUAGUCAACAAGGUGAAUUGAAUUUUGAAUUGAACUUAAUCUCAAUUAGGUCAUAUUAAAACCCUAGAAUAAAUUGACCAUGUCUAAACUAAGUCAAAAAUCAAAAGUCAAUUGAUGGUCAACGAGUCAACAUUUUGACUUUACUAUUCAAUAGGGUAAAUUGAUCUUGAAUUAAACCUAAUCUCAAUUAGGGUCAUAUAAACCUUAGAAUUAUUUGACCAUGUAUAAAUUCAAGUCAAAACCCUAAUUUUGUGGUCAACAGGUUAAUGUUUUGUAUUUGUAUUUAUUCCUAAUUACCAUUAACCAUUCUUAAGCUUUGUCUUAUAGAAAUAUUCAAAAUAAGGAUGGAAAUUCAAAAUCAAGUAAUACAUGGGAAUAUUACAAACGUUUUUUUAUGGAAAUAACACAAAGAAUACAUUGGUUGAAGAAAAGCUAAACCUUGAUUAAAGAGUGCACUUACAUAGAAGGAAGGAAGAAUCUUUAACAUAUUUUGGACUAUUGUGAGAGAUCAAGGAACCAUUAAUUUAAGAUCCAAUGGAAGAGAUCAAGUGGUCAAUGCUAUAAAUAGAGAUGCACACUAAGUGAAAUCUCAACCCACAUAGAAGAGCUUUUCAAAUAUCCACUUUGAGUUUCUCAUUUCCACCUCCAACGUUCACAACUUUCAUAAACUUCCAAGCUCCCAACGUUUCCGAAGUUGUGCCCAAGUGUUCUUGCUCAAGGUUCAUCAAAGCUCUAUACUUCUUCUAAUCUUCUUGAGUGUUCAUUGCAAAGUUGAAGUGUUGUAAUCUUAAACUUUCUCCAUUUUUUUUCUUGUGUGUUCCACUUUGGUUGAGAGGGUUGUCUCAACAUCACCAAAGUGUAAGGAGGGUUAUUGAGCUAAACCAUAAAGUUCUAAGUUGGUUUUAUAAAGUUUUCUGGUAAAACUUUUAGGUUGAAUCUACCAAGAUUCAAAUUUGGUUUUAUAGAGUUACUUGGAAAACUCUUAGAUGCUAAGUCUACCUGGAAAGACUUGGGAAGUUGCAAGUUUACUUGGAAAACUUGAGAGGUUCUUGAGCGUUGUACCCUGUAAAAACUCUGGUAAGUUUUGCCAAUACCUUUAGGCUAGUGAAUUUCGUGAGGUAAUUUCACGAGAUUGGACGUAGGUCCGUUUGGAUUGAGCCAGUAUAAAUCUCAUUGUGUUCAUUGCUUUAGUUAAAUUCCUAGCUAUCAUUUAACACAAAAUCGAUUAUUACUAUUGCUUAUCACACUUCGAAUUUAAAACCUAUCUAUAUAUAUAUUUAUACAUACUAUUUAUAUACUUAUUUACUUCAAAGUCCUUGUUAUCAGGUGCUCAAGAGGUCAUUUACUUUUAAGUUAUUUACUUUAAGUCCUCGACCUGUUAUCAGGUGUUCAAGAGACCAUUUACUUUUAAGUUAUUUAUUUUAAAUCCUCGACCUGUUAUUAGGUGCUUAAAAGGUUUGCUAUUUUUACUAAGCAUAAUAUAUAUACUUAUAUAAUAAUAAUAUUAUAUUAUAUUAAUAUUGAUAUUAUAUUACUAUAUUGUUUGUCAUUACUAUUACUGAGUGUUAUUGCAGAUAUUCCCGCUAAAAUCUGCAGUACGCGAAAAGAGACUAUCAACCCCUCUUUAUAGCAUCGGAUCACGAUCCAACAAAAACAACGGUGUUAAAUGCCUCCAAACAAAAUUGAUGUGAAAGUGACGAUUGAUGAAAUAAACAUCUUCCUGUUUCAACUAUAUGUCGAUGCUUUCUUUUGACUAUGCCAUGUUGUUGUGGUGUAUAUGGGGCGGAGAAACGUUGAGGGAUUCCCUUAUUCUUGAGGAAGUUUUGAAAUUCCCUUCUUGAAAACUCGCCACCAUGAUCUGUUUGUACUAUUUUAUUUUCUUAUUUACAAGAUUCUCUAUCAUUACAACAAAUUCUAAAAAUAUUUAAUAAAAUUUAUUUUUCUUUCUAAGUGAAAAUAGCCACGUAUAGCGUAAUCAUCAAAUAUCGAAACAUAAUACUUGAAUGAAAAAAAUGAAUAUGUUGAUGAGGGGUCCCACACGUCAAUGUGUAGUAGUUGUAAUGGAUGAUUUGCUCUCGUACCUUCUUUCAAAUGGUAGACGAUGUGAUUUGCUUAAGGCAUCAGAAUCUCAAGACUUGUUUAAAAUUGAAAUUGAUUUAUCAACUUUCUGUAUGACUUUAUUUGUUGGAUGGCAUAACCUCCUAUGUCAUAUGGUCGAAUUUUCUUUCUCACUUAGUAAACAAUAACUCGAUCUUCCUUGUAAGAGAUAUAGACUCCUCCUACUAUUCUCAGUCAGUAUCGUAGUUCCUGUCUUUUUCUUUUUGACAACAAAACCAUUUUCAGUUAAUAAAACAUUAGCAUCAUGAUAAUGACAUAAUCUCUGAAUUGAUAUGAGAUUUCUUGUGAGUUCAGGGAUGCAUAAGACGUUUUUGAGCAAUAUUUCUCCAUGAGUUGUUUUUAUUUUGAUGGAACCAACAUGUAUAAUAUUUAAUGGUGUACCAUCACCAACGAAAAUAUCAUCAUUACCUUCAAAAGGAGCGUAAUCCGUGAAUCUAGAGAUUGAAGGAGACAUGUGAUGAGUGGCGUCAUAAUCUAUUACCCACUCAUCAUCGGCUUCACCAUUGUAUGUCACAUAAGCAUAGUUACCCAUCUGAUAGCAUUUUCUUGUUGUGUGACCUAGUUUAUUAUACAGUUGGCAUAUCACAUUAUCAUUUAUAAAAGUCGCUACCUGAAUUUUUGGGUUUAAAUCCCUAAAGUCGGAUUUUCCUUUCCCGUUCCUUUUGUAGGAAUCACGAUGAGUAGAGACAUUCUCAUAUUAAUUUGUGAUUAUCACGAUGAGUAGAGACAUUCUCAUAUUAAUUUGUGAUUAUCACGAUGGCAGUGAUAAUCAUUUCUGUAACGAUUUUCAUCUUCAUAUUCACGUUGAUUCUUGUUUUUACCUUUUUGAUAUUAUUUUCUUCCUUUAAAAUUUCGACGAGGGCCACGAGAAGCAGCUAAAGCGUUAACCUUCGACGAUAUCGACGAUGGAUGAUUUCUUUAUCCGUUUUAGCAAGUGAUCCUCUUGUAAAAAAAUUCCAAACACGUUUUGAAAUAUGAUGGAAUCCCUCUGGAAAUGAAGAUUAUGCAAGAAGUUUCUGAACUCGUCCUCUAAUCCGUCAAUUACAUAGUCUAUUAGAGAAUCUUCCGUUACUGGAGUCCCACUUGCGAUUAGAGAAUCGACAAGUUAUUUUACCUGUACAAUGUAGUCUGUCAUUGACAGAUCUGAAGUCUUCUUAAAUGUGUGCAACUGGUCCUUGAUAUGCCUGGUGUACUGCUUGCGUUCCGGAGAUAGCGUUGCCUCCAAUUUCCGCCAUAUCGCAAGUGCAAAAAUUUCAUUUCCGAUGAUCGGACAAAUUGGGGGAGACAUCGUCGCUUUGAUCCAUCCGACAACUAAAUAAUUCUCCUUUAACCACCGAUUGAAGUCCGGAUUUGGUAUAUCAUCACCAAUCGUUCUAUUUGGUGGAACAUAGGUCUCGUCGAUCAGAGGUCUUGCACCAGAAACAGAUGUAAUUGUUCUUAGACAGAGACGUAUAGCACCAUGAUAAAAUAUUGAACGUCGUUGGCAACGUAUUAUGCACGUUUGCAGCAACAACGACAGCAGAAUCCACAUUUCUUCCCGCCAUCUCUUAAUUCUUUUGUAGUAGAAAAACUUGUCCGUGUCAACCUCUAGAAAUCGCGAUCACAAAUACGUCUGUGUCAAGAAAUUAAGAAAUCGCAAAUCAAAGAAACCAAUGAAUUGUAGGAAAUUACGAUGCGUCAGAAGUCUACGGUGUCUGCAGCAAUUUGCCCAUGCGUAUCAGCAACGCAGCAGCAGAUCGAUAGUAGAAGUGGCGACCAAUCACGAUUUCUUACAGCAGUUGGAAAACGCACACCGCGUUCGUCUGUCUAUGUCCGCAAAAUUAAAAUUCGUAAACCAUAAACAACAACAAAACUCCAUGUCAAACAGCAAUUGGAAAAAUCGCACACCGCGUCAAACAGCAAUAGAACUCCGUCCGUCAAAUAGGAAAUCGUGAUUUCUUACACCACGUUAAACAGGAAAUCAUGAUUUCUUAUACUGCGUCAAAUAAUGAUUCACAUCCGUCCAAGAAACUGUAAAAUCGUCAUGUGUUUCUGCGUAUUAGCAAAAAUCGCAAACCGCUGGAAAUCGGAAUCGCAAAUUGCGUUCGUCCAUGUCAGCAGCAGUAGAGAAUCGUGAUUUUUCCCAAAUCUGAAAAUAGCAAAUCGCAGCGUCCGUCUGCAGCAGUGACCAAGGAUCUUCCCUCCAGAGCAUCCGCCUAAGUACCCACCGGAGUACCUAAACUGAUAACAUAUGAAGACUAUAAGAAGUGUAGAUUGUAUACAUUGAAUUGAAUGAGUAGAGUUGGUUACAUUGGUCUCUAUUUAUAUUAAUUACUCUAACUAAUUAAUGUUAAGCUAUGGUUACUAACUGUAGUAUCGUUCUCACAGGUUCACCCGAUUGAGAAAUGUAGUAGUUGGACUGGGUUUCAAAGAAAGUACGUGCGAUCACUCUCUGUUUGUUUAUGACACUGGUGGAAUAUUUGUGAUUUUUAUCGUCUACGUUGACGAUAUUAUAAUCACGGGAUCAGAAGAGUUCGUAUAAAAUUUCAUACUAGCAAUUUCAGCAGAAUUUCCGAUUCGAAAUUUGGAGAGACUAAAUCAUUUUUUGGGGAUACAUGUCACACAAGAAAAAUAUGGCUCAAUAUAUUUAACACAACAUCAGUAUGAAAAAUCUAUUCUAGACAAGGUGGAAUUAGAGAACAUGAAGCAAGCAACAGUUCUGAUGGAUCCACGGGUAAAAUUGUAUGAAGAUGAUUUGCUAUUUGACUCCCCAAUGCUAUUUCGAUAGGUAAUUGGGGCACUACAAUAUUUAACCAUUACCCUGACGGACUUAGCAUUUUCGGUAAACAAACUUGCACAAUUCAUGCAAGCUCCGCCUUGAAGCGGCUACUGAGGUAUGUUUCAUGUACAUUGUUUAGGGGACUCCAUAUGACUAAAUUGAAAUCCACGUCUCUAACGACAUACUCUGAUGCGGAUUGGGGAGGAGAUAAAACCGACAGUAGAAGUCAGGGGGCGUUUGUGGUAUACUUUGGCACGAACGUAUCAUGGAGUUCGAGAAAGCAAGCAUCGGUGGCACGGUCGACCACAGAGGCAGAAUAUAGGAGUGUAGCGGACACGGUCACGGAACUCGAAUGGAUAAAGCAACUAUUGGUAGAACUCGGAAUAAUAGUUUCUUUUUCGUUAAUAUAUAGUUUGGUGUGAUAACACUGGAGCAAUUGCAAUAUCGAAAAAUUCAUCGCACCAUAUGAAAUCUAAACAUUUUGCGAUGCAUUAUAACUUCAUCAGAGAAAGGGUGAGAUCAAAGUCACUGUAGGUUAGAUUUAUUGGAACAGCGGAUCAGACGGUAGAUUUAUUAACAAAGCCACUACCCAAAGCAAUGUUCGAAUCUUUGGAAUCCAAGCUCACGGGAGAGCUCCCGCUUUACUUGAGAGGGUGUGUUGGAGUAUAAUUGUAUAACUGUAGAGUUUACUCAUGUAAUUAAUUUUCAGUUAGAUAAUUAGUAUAAAUACUAAUCAUUGUAAACUCAAUAAUUAACACAAUGCAAUCAAUCAUUUGAGAGUAAUUGUAAUAUAUACUACCCUAAGCAUUGUAAAAUAAAUCACUUUGGUUACUUCUAUACAACUGCAAAAUUAAUUAACAAGAUUAAAACGAUCACUAAUUACUAGUCCCAACACAAAUGAGUAUAUUUACGUGGGUGUGUGUUUGAAUUUAAUUAAAUCAGUAAUCAUAAUACGAAUCAAUUUGUCUAACAUUGUAACCUAAUUGAUCUUCUCCCAAAUGAUUAUAAUUAAGAUCAGGAUCAUUCUUGAUAUUCUUCUCCACCUGCUGCGUAUUCAUGUUGAACGAUGAUGAAGGUUGAUAAGAAUGUUGACCACCACCGAGUUGCUGCUGCAUAUUCAUCGAACGCUGAUGAUGACCCAUCUCAUUCAAAUUCAUUACAGUCGUUUCGGCUUGUCUACUGGCAUCCAAUUGGUGAUCUUGGUUGUUCAUCCCGAAAAAAUCAGAAAAAUUCGUUGGAUCUAUAUUGUACCUAGAUGUAUCCCUGAAUAAUCAAUCAAUCAUAGAGUUAUCAAAAUACCCAAUUGAAAUCGAACUAUAUUCUGUAUGUUAAUUACUUGUGAUCGAGAGGAGUGUUAUUUUGCACAGGACGAGGAACAUGUGUAUCGUUCUGAGUAGCGAGAGGAAUAUUAUGAUUAGUAACAUUUGAUAGUUGCAUGGUGUGUUGAGCGUUGUUCUGAAUCCAUGGCAUUGGUGGUUGGGGCGCCAUAUGCAUAGAUUGCAUUCCACCUUGAAACUGAUUGGAUGAACUUCCCUCCAUGUUCGCAAAGUUGAUUCGAUCACACAUUUCCUACAGAUGGAUCGAUGAUCAGAAUUAAGUAGGAUUAUAUAUAGGGUUAGGAGUGCAAAUUAAUUAACCUUCUGUGCAUCAAGAUCAUUCAAAGCAUGUCUGAGAUAAUCUUCAAUUCCAGUAAUAUGUUCUAGUUUAUCGACACUUUCCGGUUCAACCCAAAAACUGUGUUACAUCGUAUUUAUUAAUACAUGAAAUAAAUUCAUCAAACCAAAUGAUUAGGGCAAGGAAUAUACUUGAGUCGAUUCUGAAAUUCCAAUAAUUGUCCUUGUAACAUUCUCAUGUGAUUUCCCAUAUCUUCGAUCGAAUUUGUGCUGCAGAAAAAUCACAAGAUAAGAUUUAAAAUGCAAAACAAUAUCCUUAAUUUCUAAUUAAACGUACCUUGAUCCUACAAAGUCCUGAAUGUUAACAUCGUGAUCCAAUUUUUUGAACGUUUUCUUGAGCACCUUCAUUAUAGUUUGGUAUAUCGAGGGUUAAUUAGAAUCAAUUUUGCAUAAUAGCAUGACAUUUUAAUUAAGACUCGAUCGAGACUUACUUCAAGACUUUCCAGCUUUCUGUUUCAUUCACAUAUGCAUGCAGCAAAUUCAAUAUUAGAUCAGGAAAAAAAGAUUCUCUAAUUUAUAUUAAUAACCAGGAAUUCGAUUAUGAAAUGGGAUAAAAAUACAACCUUUUGGCUCUUUCUUGUGGUGUUUGUUGAGAAAACUUGAGGAGAACUUGGUCGAUAGUGCUGAUCGAUCAAAUAAUUUAAAGAUGUAAAAUAUUUAUUAUGAUACAUGAUGCAAUAUAUAUAUACAGAAAAUAUCAGGCACGGUACCUGUGCUCACCGGACACCGAACGGUACCGUGCCUGGAUACCGUUGAAUUUUGAUCAGUCGUCCAUCGACCAAUGUGAAUGUCGUUCCCACCGGCCAACCAAAAUAGCUGACAUCAGGGCACAUAUCCACUUGGCUAGGAGUUGCCUAGCCAUAGAGAUAUGGGUUUCCUGCCACCUCCGUCAACAAGGUAUGGGUUCCAGAAAUGGUUCCGCGGUUGCGCGUCAAGUUGGAAAUGGUGGGUGUCGUUUCCGCGAUGAUCGCUAACAGGUUGCGUGGAACCACGAUGAAGAUUCCGUGGAUUCCGCAGAAUCGUCUUCGCGGAAUCACUGCGAUGGUGGUUCCGCCGAAUCGCGGAAUCAUCGCGAUGGUAGUUCCGCAGUACUGCGAUGACGUUCCGUGGAAUCGCGGAAUCGUCUCCGCGGAACCAUCGCGAUGGUGGUUCCGCGGAAUCGAGGAUUCGUCUUCGCGGAACCACCGCGAUGGUGGUUCCGUGUUACCACGGUGACGUUCCGGAACGUCAAUGGUGACGUUCCAGACAUGUCUUGACGUGGUGAUUCCCUAACACAUUGGACACCUAUACUGACACCCGCGACGGACGGUCGAGCUUCACGUAGGAGUUGGACGGUCGGAUGUGGUGUCUGUCACAUGUAAUUCACCAGACAUGUAUCGUUCCAGAUGUGCCCCGUAUAUAUAUAUCAUACGAUAUUAAUUAGUAUAUAUAGAAGAAUUCCGAACCUAUUUUCUCCAAGACACAACGUGGCUUUUCCGGCCGGCGAGAACAUGAGAAGUGCAAGAUCAAUGUCACAUAGAAUCGAAAGUUCCGUUGCCUUUUUGACGAUUCCAGCUCUUCGUUUUGAAAAAGUAACCUGUCGACCACCUGUAUUCUCCAAUUUCUUGAUCUUCAAUUUCACCCUUCCCAUCACUAAAGAUUGAACAAGAAGUUUGAAGAGAUCGAUCGAUGCAGGAAUCAAGAAUGCCAAUAUCUGAUGACCAAAGACUGAAAAACGGAAUGAAGGGAGAAUAUUAUAUAUAUAUAUAUAAUCUCUUGAUCUUUAAAUUUUUUUAGCUAUUUAAAUUUAAGGUAGGAAGAUAUUACACCAUACAAAUGGAUAGUGAUCAUUGUCCGACUUUUCGAUGGAGGAAAUAGGAAGAAACAAAGAUGACUGUUUCCUUUGUAUGGUGUAGGAAGAUUUCGAUAGAGGAGAUUUGGGAUAGGAAGAUUUUACACCAUACAAACGAAACGGUCAUCUUUGUUUCUAUGGUAGGAAGAAUAUCUGCUCCAAAAUGUCGCGGAACGGGACGGGUCUAGGCGACCCACCCUGUUUUCACCCACCAUUGUGCAAAAAAAUAGAUUUUCAUCAAUGUAAUUAUCUGUUUUGAUAUGCUAAUUUUUCUUUAAUUGAAGGUUAGGUCGGUAAACGAACCGAAUGCCAUCAUAUUCAAAUUCGUUUAAUAUCCAAAUAUUCGAUUUCGGUUCGUUUUCUUAUCAAAUUUGCAUUUUGCUAUUCAAAUUUGAUUAUUUUAACCGAAUCCGAAUAUUACAUUUAUAAAAAAACCCCAUCUGAUUUAUUUUAUUUUUAAAAAAAAAUCAUGUAUUUAAAAAAUUUAUAAAUUAGUAAAUAAUAAAGUAUAAAUUAUAAAAUUUAAUUUAAUUUAAUUUAAUUUAAAUGAACAGGAUUUUAACGAAUCGAAUAUCCUGAUAUCCGAAUUCGGUUCGUUUAAAUUCAAAUAUCAAAAUUAAAACUCGAUUUCGAAUUCGUUUAUCCGCGUUUAUCCGAAUUCGUGAAUUUCGGAUAUUCAUUUACAGGCCUAUUGAAAGUGUUGCAAUAAGUUUGCAAUCCUCAAAUUUUGAAAUUUUAAUAGAUCAAUGUCAUAUUUUCUUUGACUCGUGAAUGUUUGAUUGUCUUUAUGGGAUAAUUCUAAUCUUAGAAAGUAUUUCAAUUCCCGUAGGUCUUUAAUUGUGUAAUGUUGUUUAAGAUCGGUUUUAAAUUGAUUAAUUGUUCUCAAGCAUGGUUCUGUUAUCAACAUGUUAUCUACAUAAGCUAAUAUAAUUGUUUUUAUGUUGUUCUUAGUUGAAAUGAAUAAAGAAUAAUCAGAAUUGCAUUGGAAGAAUCCAAGUGUAUUUAGUGUUUUCCUAAGUUCAUUAAACCAGCUUUCAGAGGUUUGUUUCAAUCCAUAUAAGGAUUUAUUAAGUUUACACACAAGCUCUUGCUCUUUGUCUGUUUUGCUACAUCCUUUCCAAGGGGUGGAGCAAGUAUUUGUCAGUCUUCGGUACGAUCCUUAAAUGCUGCUGGAGGUGAAUUUUUUGGUGGGAAUAAACGGGUCGGAUAAAAUUUUGACAUGACCUAGCUAUUUAAUUUUGGUAUGAUUUAUUUUUUUCAUUUUUGCCUUUGAAACACUCCAUGUAAGGGCUGGGAGGCUGGAAAUCCCUUCUUAUAGUAGCAAUUAUCCAUUGUAUUUUCAGUUUUCUUACAGCUACUGCAUAUUUUAUCUUUUCACUCUUUUCCUUCAUUAUUUGAUUCUCUGGAUGGUGCAACUUCCUUGAAUUUUAUUUUAUCUUUUGCAUAGUACUUUGGUUUCCCCUGCUGUACCACUAGUGUUGAUGAUGUACUCUAUAUUUUGCUUGCUCCUCUCUGUUGUUCUUUAGUGAGUAAUAUCUGAUGAGCAACAUCCAGUGUGGGUACUGCUUUUAUCAGUAUUACAUGCUCUUGGAAACUUUUAUAAUUCUCAUUAAGUCCCAUUAGGAUCAACCAGCUUUCUAGGGAUAUCUUUCUUAGGAUAUUCAUGUACAAGGUUAUUCCUCAUAGUUGGCAAGCUCAUCCCAUAUGUUCUGGAGCCUUGUGAAGUAAGUUGUAAUAGAUUCCUUUCUUUGAACACACUUUGUCAAUUUUGUUUUAAUGAUAUAAAAAACUAUAUUAAUAUUGAUUUGAUCAGAACUUUCCAGAAGGUAGUUGCAUAAAUGAGUGCCAAUUUUGGUGUCAUAUUGCCAUCCCACCACCAGGUUAUUACAUCUCUUCCAGAAAGCUACCUUUUUGAAUGUUGUUGGGUUUGUCGUUGGUGAUUUGAUAAUGGUUCUAUCAACAAACCCAAACUUGUUCUUUGCAUCAAGUGUUGUUUCCAUCUAGGAUGACCAUAAGUGGUAAUUGCUUCCAAUAAUCUAGUUUGUUGAUCACAAGUUGUGUUGUUAUUUUUUUAUUUGUUGCAAUUGAAUGAUGAAAACAUAGUUGACGAGGAGAGAUUGGUAUCUGAAUUGAAGGCUAACCUGCAACAGAUCGCGAAUAAGAACGAUACUGAAGAGGAUACCGGAGUGAGAACGACGAAGAGGGAGAUUUCCGACCAUCGUCGAUCCACCAGGAAUCGGAUCCCACCAGCCCAAUUCAAAGAUUAUACCCUACCCUAAUAGAAUACUUAAUUGGCAGACUAGUUUAGAUUAAAGAGUGACUAUGUCACAACUUAUCUUUUAAAAUUCAGUAGUAUAAAUUAUGAACAAUUAACUGCAGUUUUUUAUCAAAUAUUUCAAUUAAGUUAUGCAAUUAACACAUGUUGAAGCUGUAGAAUCAAAAUUGUCGACAUAAGAUUAUAUUUUAAUUAUGUUAAUUUUAUCCCUAAUUACACUAUAUAUUAAUCCAAAGGGUAAAAUUAGUCAAGAUUAGACCUAAAUUAAUUCAUAAAUUAAUUAAGUCAAGGUUUAAUCAAAGUCAAAAUCGAAAUGGUUAAAUUGCAUAAAACACUUUGAAUAUAUUUAUUGUUAUCUCUAACAUUUUAGUCAAGAUAUAAUAACCAAAAAGCAAAAGACACUAUUCACAAAAAAAAUCUUCUCAAGAUCUUCUCAAAGGAAAUCUACUAUUCAGGCUUCUACUAUUCACAAAAAGCAAGCUUCUACUAUUUUAAGCUUCUACUAUUCAAGCUUCUACUAUUCACAAAAAGUAAGCUUCUACUAUUCAAGCUUUUUGGGAAGACAAAAUCUUGGACAUUUGUGAGGAAUCAAGGAACCAUCCAUUGAAGAUCCAAGGGUGGACAAGUGAUGACCUAGGCUAUAAAUAGAGGACCAAACUCUCCAUUUUCGUUCACCACAUUUCAAACACUCCAAAGAGUUUUUCAUUUUUCAUCUUGAGAUCUACAAAGUGUUCUUGUUUCCAAGGUUCUAAGCUUCCAAAAGCUCUCAAGUGUCCAAGCUUCUAAAAGCUUCAAAAGCUCUCCAACUUCUACUUCUAACCUUCUUGUUCAUCUUUACAAGUAAGAAGUUUUGUGUACUUUAAACAUUCCACUCCUUUAAUCCUCUCUUAUGUCUGUCCACUUUGGUUGAAAGGUUUUGUCUCAAUAUCACCAAAGUGUGAGGGAAGGUUUUUGAGCUCAACCAUAAAGCUCUUGUUUGGUUUUAUAGAGUUUCCGGAAAAAACUCUUAGGUGGAAUCUACCUUGAAAGAUUAAGAAAGGUUUUUAAGAGUUCCUUAAUACUCUAAGGUCCUAACUUACGCGUAAAAGUUAGAGGUUCUUAAGAGUGCCCUUGAUACUUUAAGGUGUGAGUCUACCCGUAAAAGACUGGUUCCUAAGCGAAGUAGCCUUAAAGUUUAAAGAGGUUUUUAAAAGUUCCUUGAUACUCUAAGGUACUAACUUACCCGUAAAAGUUAGAGGUUCUUAAAAGUGCCCUUGAUACUCU